Molecule: long non-coding RNA, 3372 nt
Organism: Oncorhynchus tshawytscha (Chinook salmon)
Lineage: Eukaryota; Metazoa; Chordata; Actinopteri; Salmoniformes; Salmonidae
Source: Ensembl
UCUGCAGUCCAUGAGGACCUGAUGAUAUCCGGUGUUGCUGGCACUUGAGGAGCGGGACACUAAUCUGGACCCCUAUAAGAAAUCCAGCUAUGCCCUCAGACGAACCAUCAAACAAGCAAAGUGUCAAUACAGGAUUAAGAUUGAAUCGUACUACACCUUCUCUGAUGCUCGUCGGAUGUGGCAGGGCUUGGAAACUAUUACGGACUACAAAGGGAAACCCAGCCGCGAGCUGCCCAGUGACGCGAGCCUACCAGACGAGCUAAAUGCCUUUUAUGCUCGCUUCAAGGCAAGCAAUACAUAAGCAUGCACGAGAUUACCAGCUGUUCUGGAUGACUGUGUGAUAUUGCUCUCUGUAGCUGAUGUGAGCAAGAUCUUUAAACAGGUCAACGUUCACAAAGACACGGGGCCAGAUGGAUUACCAGGAUGUGUACUCAAAGCAUGCGCAGACCAACUGGCAAGUGUCUUCACUGACAUUUUCAAUCUCUCCCUGACUGAGUCUGUAAUACCUACAUGUUUCAAGCAGACCACCAUGGUUCCUGUGCCCAAGGAAGUAAAGGUAACCUGCCUAAAUGAUUACCGCCCCGUAACAAUCACGUCGGUAGCCAUGAUGUGCUUUGAAAGGCUGGUCAUGGCUCCCAUCAACAGCAUCAUCACGGAAACCCUAGACCCACUCCAAUUCGCAUACGGCCCCAAAAGAUCCACAGAUGAUGCAAUCUCAAUCGUACUCCACACUGCCCUUUCCCACCUGGACAAAAGGAAGACCUAUGUGAGAAUGCUAUUCAUUGACUCAUUGUGCCCACGAAGCUCAUCACUAAGCUAAGGACCCUGGGACUAAACACCUCCCUCUGCAACUGGAUCCUGGACUUCCUGACGGGCCGCCCCCAGGUGGUAAGGGUAGGCAACAACACGUCUGCCGCGCUGAUCCUCAACACUGGGGCCCCUCAGUCGUGUGUACUUAGUCCCCUCCUGUACUCCCUGUUCACCCACGACUGCGUGGCCAAACACCAUCAUUAAGUUUGCUGAUGACACAACAGUGGAAGGCCUGAUCACCGACAUCAAUGAGACAGCCUAUAGGGACGAGGUCAGAGAACUGUCAGUGUGGUGCCAGGACAACAACCUCUCCCUCAAUGUGAGCAAGACAAAGGAGCUGAUCGUGGACUACAGGUAAAUUUGGGCCGAACAGGCUCCCGUUAACAUCAACGGGACUGUAGUGGAGCGGUUCAAGAGUUUCAAGUUCCUUGGUGUCCAAAUCACCAAUGAUCUAUCAUGGUCCUAACACACCAAGACAGUCGUGAAGAGGGCAUGACAAAACCUUUUCCCCCUCAGGAGACUGAAAAGAUUUGGUAUGAGUCCCCAGAUCUUCAAAAAGUUCUACAGCUGCACCAUCGAGAUCAUCCUGACCGGUAGCAUCACUGCCUGAACGGCAAGAGGUACCGGAGCGCCAAGCCUAGGACCAAAAGGCUCCUCAACAGCUUCUACCCCCAAGCCAUAAGACUGCUGAACAAUUAAUCAAACUGCCACGGGAUUAUUACAUUGACACCCCACCCCCUCCUCCAUUUGUUUUAUUGCUACUUGCUGUUUAUUAUCUAUGCAUAGUCACUUCACCCCUACCUACAUGUACAAAUUGCCUCUAACCUAUACCCCCGCACACUGACUCUGUACCGCUACCCCUUGUAUAUAGCCUUGUUAUUGUUAUGUUAUUGUGUUACUUAUUUUUUACUUUAGUUUGUUUGGUAAAUGUUUUUUUUCUUUUGUUUUUUAAACUUUUUUACUGCUUUUUUCUCCCCAAUUUUGUGGUAUCCAAUUGGUAGUAGCUACAGUCUUGUCUCAUCGCGGCAACUCCUGUAUGGACUCGGGAGAGGUGAAGGUCGCGAGCCAAGCAUCCCCCGAAACACAACCCAACCUAGCCGCACUGCUUCUUGACACAACGCACAUCCAACCCGGAAGCCAGUCGCACCAAUGUGUCGGAGGAAACACUGUACACCUGGCGACCUGGUCAGCGUGCACUGUGCCUGGCCCGCCACAGGAGUCGCUAGUGCGUGAUGAGACAAGGAUAUCCCUGCUGGCCAAACCCUCCCUAACCCGGACGACGCUAGGCCAAUUGUGUCGCGGCCAGCUGCGACAGAGCCUGGGCUCGAACCCAGAUUCUCUAGUGGCACAGCUAGACCACUGCGCCACCCGGGAGGCCCUUGUAAAUAUUUUCUUAACUCUUCUUGAAAUGCACUGUUGGUUAAGGGCUUGUAAGUAAGCAUUUCAAGGUAACUUGUUGUAUUUGGCGCAUGUGACAAAGUUUGAUUUGAUUUUCCUCUCCUGAAAACCCUGAGCAGUCGAGAGAUGGUGAACUCUCAGAAAUUGAACCGGAGAAAAAUUAUUUGUAAGAUCCUGCGCUGAGCGGUGAGGUGAAGGCUUCCAAGCCUCAACCGAAUCACCAGGAAAAUACUAGAGAUGACUUGGGCCCAGUGGGAGUACAAUUCUUGAGGAGCAUGCUAACAGAUACAUUGUGAUAUAGCUAGUUAGCAUUGGCUUGCGAAACUAGCUCUAACUUCCAUACUGGACAUAAAAAUGGUAUCCACUAGUUCAUCUGCCUGGGGAAGUAGUAUCCUGAAGUAUCCAUUUAAAUUGUACUGUACAGAUGGAAUGGAAAUCCCAGAAGAUUGAAUUGGUAGUAGCAGCAGAGAAGUGUUUGGGUGUCAUAUUUGAAUGUAGAAGGAACUACGGGGGUUUUGAGAGAAGGGGUUCCAGCCUCCCAGACUGAUGGUGUUGAUGUAGGACCUGUUAGGGCCAAAGUAGUGUGAAGGGGUGGUGGAGUGUGUUGAGAGAUAAUGCUAUAUAGAGAGCAAUUUUAAUGGUGUCUUUUCAUAGGCACUAACACCCUCCAUGGUUUGUUGUAAGGCCUAUAGGGAAAUUAAUGGAGUUUUUGUAGGGUUUUUGGAUAAAUGCUGGAAAUAAGGUCUGUGGUAAACACAGGUUGUGUCUGAAUACCCAUACUAGUGUACUAUAUACUUAAACUGCAUGGUAUGUACUCAUUUCAGUGCUAGAGGCGUCACUACAGACCCUGGUUCGAUUCCAGGCUGUAUCACAACCAGCCGUGAUUGGGAGUCCCAAAGGGUAGCGCACAAUUGGCCCAGCGUCGUCUGGGUUAGGCCAUCAUUGUAAAUAAGAAUUUGUUCUUAACAGACUUGCCUAGUUAAAUAAAGGUAUAAAACAAAUUGUCUCAUACUAUUUAUGACAAUGUUUAGUAAAAAAGUAUGCGUUAUGCCACAGGCUUAGCAUACUCCUUUGAUAUGGCUUCGCAGAUAUAAACCAGAAAGUGAAUCCUCAAAAAUCUCUGGAUACACCGUUCUAAAUCCAAAUAUCAUCCCUAUUUAUAAA